UCCUGAGUAGAGUGGCGCACGGGUGAGUAACACGUAGAUAAUCUACCUUCAAGCCUGGGAUAACUAUUCGAAAGGAUGGCUAAUACCGGAUGAAGUGCAUUGACAUAAGUUGAUGUAUGAAAGAUUGCCUCUUCUUGAAAGCAAUUGUUUGGAGAUGAGUCUGCGGACCAUUAGUUUGUUGGUGGGGUAAAGGCCUACCAAGACUACGAUGGUUAGCUGGUCUGAGAGGAUGAUCAGCCACACUGGAACUGGAACACGGUCCAGACUCCUACGGGAGGCAGCAGUGAGGAAUUUUGCGCAAUGGGGGAAACCCUGACGCAGCAACGCCGCGUGAGUGAAGAAGGCCCUUGGGUCGUAAAGCUCUGUCGACAGGGAAGAAAUUGAUUCAUAUUAAUAGUAUGUUUCAUUGACGGUACCUGUAGAGGAAGCACCGGCUAACUCCGUGCCAGCAGCCGCGGUAAUACGGGGGGUGCAAGCGUUAUUCGGAAUUAUUGGGCGUAAAGGGCGCGUAGGCGGUCUUGUCGGUCAGAUGUGAAAGCCCGGGGCUCAACCCUGGAAGUGCAUUUGAAACAGCAAGACUUGAAUACUGGAGAGGAGAGCGGAAUUCCUGGUGUAGAGGUGAAAUUCGUAGAUAUCAGGAGGAACACCGAUGGCGAAGGCAGCUCUCUGGACAGAUAUUGACGCUGAGGCGCGAAGGUGUGGGUAGCGAACGGGAUUAGAUACCCCGGUAGUCCACACAGUAAACGUUGUUCACUCGGUGUACCGGAUAUUAAAAUCUGGUGUGCCCAAGCUAACGUGGUAAGUGAACCGCCUGGGGAGUACGGUCGCAAGACUAAAACUCAAAGGAAUUGACGGGGGCCCGCACAAGCGGUGGAGCAUGUGGUUUAAUUCGACGCAACGCG
This 902-nucleotide ribosomal RNA is filed under the name delta proteobacterium FM1C-A5. RNAcentral's name for it is "bacterial SSU rRNA". It matches the Rfam family "Bacterial small subunit ribosomal RNA", at positions 84 to 963 of the family's 1533-position model. Lineage: Bacteria; Deltaproteobacteria. The record is from RNAcentral.